This 422-nucleotide long non-coding RNA is filed under the name Hordeum vulgare. Its description in RNAcentral is "long non-coding RNA (HVUL_LNC005212)". Lineage: Eukaryota; Viridiplantae; Streptophyta; Magnoliopsida; Poales; Poaceae. The record is from RNAcentral.
UGGUGGUGGGAAGGUCCGACAAACUCAUUGAACCCAAGCUACCUGAUACCAAAUUGGUAGAGGCUAGGGUUCUACCAGGUCUCGGACGUAGAUUGUAGGGGUGGAAGUGCGGGCUGCGAGGUUGGGGACGCCGGCGCCGUCGCGACGUGAGAGAGAGAGAGAGAGGCGGCUAGGGUUUGGGAGGAGACGACAACAGAAUAUACUGUUUAUUGUCUGCUUAAUAUCGAAGAGGUACAUGUGUUUAUAUAGGAGGACAACCUCCACUAAACCCUAGAUAACUUGGACUCUAAGAUAGGUAAGAUAACUUGGGCUAAGCCCGUAAUUAACCCUGCCCAUUGGGCCUCCUCCGUUGGUACGUUGUACCGGUCAUAACAAUAAUAGUGGGUGUGGGUAUAACUGGGGCAAACAAAAGAAAAUAAAUG